GACGAACGCUGGCGGCGUGCUUAACACAUGCAAGUCGAACGGAAAGGCCCUGCUUUUGUGGGCUGCUCGAGUGGCGAACGGGUGAGUAACACGUGAGUAACCUGCCCUUGACUUUGGGAUAACUUCAGGAAACUGGGGCUAAUCCAGGACAGGAGCUCCUGCUGCAUGGUGGGGGUUGGAAAGUUUCGCCGGGUGGGGAUGGACGCGCGGCUUAUCGGCUUGCUGGUGGGGUGGUGACUUACCCAGGCUGUGACGGGUAGCCGGCCUGAGAGGGUGACCGGGCACAGUGGCACUGGGAAGCGGCCCAGAGGGCUACGUGGGGCAGGGGUGGGGAAUAGUGCACGACGGGCGGAAGCGUGAUGGAGCAACGCCGGGUGCGGGAGGACUUCCGUCGGGAUGGAAACCGCUUACGCCUGUGACGAAGCGUGAGUGACGGUAAUGGGUAAAGAAGCACGGGCUAACUACGU
Molecule: ribosomal RNA, 467 nt
Filed under: uncultured bacterium
Lineage: Bacteria
Description: partial 16S ribosomal RNA
Rfam family: Bacterial small subunit ribosomal RNA
Source: RNAcentral